This 367-nucleotide transfer-messenger RNA is filed under the name Afipia sp. It matches the Rfam family "Alphaproteobacteria transfer-messenger RNA". Rfam says of the family: Bacterial tmRNA, also known as 10Sa RNA or SsrA, is named for its dual tRNA and mRNA-like properties. Its role is to liberate the mRNA from a stalled ribosome. RNAcentral also lists the same sequence under 2 other names. Lineage: Bacteria; Pseudomonadati; Pseudomonadota; Alphaproteobacteria; Hyphomicrobiales; Nitrobacteraceae. The record is from RNAcentral.
GGCCUUUUGUCGUCGGGGUUUGCCCCCUAUAUUGAGGGUGCCGGUUCGCCGGCUAUGGAAAUAAAUGGCCGUCGUAAUAAACCAUUCGGACCCGGGGGCAGCACCCGGCGCCUCCACCAAAGCCCGGAUUUCCCGGCCUGAAAGGGCGGGUUUUGGCGGGGGCGAAACAGGAUCGACGAGGGCGUAAAGGGCUCGCUUUUUCUCGGUAUGGUUCCGCCGUUAUCGGGCUAUGCAAUAGUUGCAAACGACAACUAUGCUCCGGUUGCUCAGGCUGCGUAACGCAGUUUGAAAAACCAAGUCUAAAGUCCUAGGGGAUUAAGCCCCUCUAGGCGGGGUUCGGAGGCACCUGGCAACAGAAGCCUCCACU